UUAAUUACUUGAUAUUUCCUUCUUAUUUGCUAGUCUUAGAAUUUAAUUACCUAUUAUUUCUUUCCUUUUUCUAGCCUUAUUCUCCUCCCUAUUUAGGCCCUCCUAAUAUAGCUGUUGGAGAAUAUUCUAUCAUAAUUCUCUCAUGUAAUCAGCUAUAAGUUCAUGUAAUCAUUCACCUUUUGAUCAAUAAGAAAUAUACAAUUAUUUCUCUAAUAUGGUAUCAGUGAUAUCAUAACAAAUUAACACCCUUUUUUUUUCCCAAUGGCCGAUGAAGAAAAUUCUUCAUCUUCCUCUGAUGAAAACAAUGAUUCAACUACUCAUCACAUCAAAG
This 331-nucleotide long non-coding RNA is filed under the name Lathyrus oleraceus (garden pea). Its description in RNAcentral is "Pisum sativum (pea) long non-coding RNA (PSAT_LNC039449)". Lineage: Eukaryota; Viridiplantae; Streptophyta; Magnoliopsida; Fabales; Fabaceae. The record is from RNAcentral.